This 301-nucleotide ribosomal RNA is filed under the name uncultured bacterium. RNAcentral's name for it is "partial 16S ribosomal RNA". It matches the Rfam family "Bacterial small subunit ribosomal RNA", at positions 509 to 807 of the family's 1533-position model. The record is from RNAcentral.
CAGUAGCCGCGGUAAUACGUAGGGUGCAAGCGUUAAUCGGAAUUACUGGGCGUAAAGCGUGCGCAGGCGGUUUGUUAAGACAGAUGUGAAAUCCCCGGGCUCAACCUGGGAACUGCAUUUGUGACUGGCAAGCUAGAGUAUGGCAGAGGGGGGUGGAAUUCCGCGUGUAGCAGUGAAAUGCGUAGAGAUGCGGAGGAACACCGAUGGCGAAGGCAAUCCCCUGGACCUGUACUGACGCUCAUGCACGAAAGCGUGGGGAGCAAACAGGAUUAGAUACCCGAGUAGUCCCUGUCUCUUAUAC